AGAUUAAGCAAAGAAGAGCGCAGGGUGGAUGCCUUGGCACUAAGAGCCGAAGAAAGACGUGAUAAGCUGCGAAAAGCUGCGGGGAGAUGCAAAUAAUCCUUGAUCCGCAGAUGUCUGAAUGGGGAAACCCGGUACGAAGAACUCGUAUCAUCCAUACGCCAAUCCAUAACGUAUGGAGGGGAACCCGGUGAACUGAAACAUCUAAGUAGCCGGAGGAAGAGAAAGAAACAUCGAUUUUGUUAGUAGCGGCGAGCGAAAGCGAAAGAGGCCAAACCGGAGUGCGUGCACUCCGGGGUUCGGACCGCAUUUAAGAUUCAGUGAUUCUAGCAGAAAGGUUUGGGAAAGCCUGCCGGAGAGGGUGAAAGCCCCGUAAGCGAAAGGAAAACUGACUGAGCGGAAUCCAGAGUACAUCGAGACACGAGAAACCUUGAUGGAAUAAGCGGGGACCACCCCGUAAGCCUAAAUACUACUUAGUGACCGAUAGCGCAUAGUACUGUGAAGGAAAGGUGAAAAGGACCCCGGGAGGGGAGUGAAAGAGAACCUGAAACCCUGUGUUUACAAGCUGUGGAAGUUCUUUAAAUGAACAACCGCGUACUUUUUGUAGAACGGUCCGGCGAGUUGCGGAUACUGGCAAGGUUAAGCACUUAAGGUGCGGAGCCGAAGGGAUACCAAGUCUUAACAGGGCGUUAAGUCAGUAUACGCAGACCCGAAACCGGGUGAUCUAUCCAUGUCCAGGUUGAAGUUGUCGUAAAAGACAAUGGAGGACCGAAGCCACAUCCGUUGAAAAGGGUGGGCAUGAGGUGUGGAUAGGGGAGAAAUUCCAAUCGAACCCGGAGAUAGCUGGUUCUCCUCGAAAUAGCUUUAGGGCUAGCCUCGAUUUAGUCUUAUGGAGGUAGAGCACUGAAUUUCCGCGGGGGCGUCAAAGCUUACCAAAGAAUAUCAAACUCCGAAUGCCAUGUAGAUGAUGAUCGGGAGUCAGACUGCACGAGAUAAGUUGGGCAGUCAAAAGGGAAAGAGCCCAGACCACCGGCUAAGGUCCCAAAGUGCGUGUUAAGUGGAAAAGGAUGUGGGAAUUCGAAGACAACUAGGAUGUUGGCUCAGAAGCAGCCAUACAUUCAAAGAGUGCGUAACAGCUCACUAGUCGAGAGUUCCUGCGCCGAAAAUGUCCGGGGCUGAAACACGACACCGAAGCCGUGGACUCGCAAUGCGAGUGGUAGAGGAGCAUUCUUAAAACCGACGAAGCUGUACCGAAAGGAGCAGUGGAGGGAUAAGAAGAGAGAAUGCCGGAAUGAGUAGCGAGAGAAAGGUGGGAAUCCUUUCGGCCGAAUAUCUAAGGUUUCCAGAGUAAAGCUGAUCUGCUCUGGGUAAGUCGGGGCCUAAGCACAGGUCGCAAGACGUAAGCGAUGGAUAACAGGUUUAGAUUCCUGUACCACGCAUUAUCAGAACUGUAGGGACGCAUGUGGAAAGCACGAGCCGGGAAUGGAAAGACCGGUACAAGCGGGGUAGGUGUACAAUAGGCAAAUCCGUUGUAUAAUCCGAAGACGUGAUGUGGAGCGAAAUAAAGUAGCAAAGCGUGUGAGCCAUGUGCCGAGAAAAGCUGCUAUUGUGUAAUGCGUGCCCGUACCGUAAACCGACACAGGUGGAUGAGGAGAGAAUCCUAAGGCCGACGGAAGAAGCAUUGUUAAGGAAUUCGGCAAAAUGACCCCGUAACUUCGGGAGAAGGGGUGCCUGCGAGAGCAGGCCGCAGAGAAUAGGCUCAAGCAACUGUUUAGCAAAAACACAGGUCUAUGCGAAACCGAAAGGUGAAGUAUAUGGGCUGACGCCUGCCCGGUGCUGGAAGGUUAAGAGGAGAGGUUAGCGUAAGCGAAGCUUUGAAUUUAAGCCCCAGUAAACGGCGGCCGUAACUAUAACGGUCCUAAGGUAGCGAAAUUCCUUGUCGGGUAAGUUCCGACCCGCACGAAAGGCGUAAUGAUUUGAGCACUGUCUCGACAAUGCAUCCGGUGAAAUUGAAGUACCAGUGAAGAUGCUGGUUACCCGCGCCAGGACGGAAAGACCCCAUGGAGCUUUACUCCAGUUUGAUACUGGGAUUCGGUACUGCAUGUACAGGAUAGGUGGGAGACGAAGAAGGAUGGACGCCAGUCUGUCCGGAGUCGCUGUUGGGAUACCACCCCUGUAGUACUGGGUUUCUAACCAGUUGCCAUGAACUGGCAAUGGGACAAUGUCAGGCGGGGAGUUUGACUGGGGCGGUCGCCUCCGAAAGGGUAUCGGAGGCGCUCAAAGGUUCCCUCAGAAUGGUUGGAAACCAUUUGAAGAGUGCAAAGGCAGAAGGGAGCUUGACUGCGACACCGACGGGUGGAGCAGGUACGAAAGUAGGACUUAGUGAUCCGGUGGUAUAAAGUGGGAUUGCCAUCGCUCAACGGAUAAAAGCUACCCUGGGGAUAACAGGCUUAUCACUCCCAAGAGUUCACAUCGACGGAGUGGUUUGGCACCUCGAUGUCGGCUCAUCGCAUCCUGGGGCUGUAGCAGGUCCCAAGGGUUGGGCUGUUCGCCCAUUAAAGCGGUACGCGAGCUGGGUUCAGAACGUCGUGAGACAGUUCGGUCCCUAUCCGGCGCGGGCGGAGGAUAUUUGAGAGGAGCUGUCCUUAGUACGAGAGGACCGGGAUGGACGGACCACUGGUGUAUCUGUUGUCGACCAACGGCAUGGCAGAGUAGCCAAGUCUGGAAGGGAUAAACGCUGAAGGCAUCUAAGCGUGAAGCCCCCCUCAAGAUGAGAUAUCCCUCCUUCGGGAGUAAGACCCCUUGAAGACUACAAGGUAGAUAGGGCAGAGGUGGAAGCAUGGCAACAUGUGGAGCUGACUGUUACUAAUAGGUCGAGGGCUUAAUCUG
Molecule: ribosomal RNA, 2886 nt
Filed under: Agathobacter rectalis
Lineage: Bacteria; Bacillati; Bacillota; Clostridia; Lachnospirales; Lachnospiraceae
Description: [Eubacterium] rectale 23S ribosomal RNA
Rfam family: Bacterial large subunit ribosomal RNA
Source: RNAcentral